RNAcentral lists this ribosomal RNA (468 nucleotides) under uncultured bacterium. RNAcentral's name for it is "partial 16S ribosomal RNA". It matches the Rfam family "Bacterial small subunit ribosomal RNA", at positions 28 to 507 of the family's 1533-position model. The record is from RNAcentral.
GACGAACGCUGGCGGCGUGCUUAACACAUGCAAGUCGAACGGAAAGGCCCUGCUCUUGUGGGUUGCUCGAGUGGCGAACGGGUGAGUAACACGUGAGUAACCUGCCCUUGACUUUGGGAUAACUUCAGGAAACUGGGGCUAAUACCGGAUAGGAUCUCCUGCUGCAUGUUGGGGGUUGGUAAGUUUCGGCGGUUGGGGAUGGACUCGCUGCUUAUGAGCUUGUUGGUGGGGUAGUGGCUUACCAAGGCUUUGACGGGUAGCCGGCCUGAGAGGGGGACCGGGCACAUGGGGACUGAGAUACGGCCCAGAAUCCUACGGGAGGCAGCAGUGGGGAAUAUUGCACAAUGGGCGGAAGCCUGAUGCAGCAACGCCGCGUGCGGGAUGACGGCCUUCGGGUUGUAAACCGCUGUCGCAUGUGACGAAGCGUGAGUGACGGUAAUGGGUAAAGAAGCACCGGCUAACUACGUG